RNAcentral lists this transfer RNA (72 nucleotides) under Marmota monax (woodchuck). Its description in RNAcentral is "tRNA.Val". The record is from RNAcentral. Lineage: Eukaryota; Metazoa; Chordata; Mammalia; Rodentia; Sciuridae.
GUGGGCUGUAGCUCAGUGGUAGAGUGCUUGCCUUACACCUGUGAGGCACUGGGUUCCAUCCUCAGCACCACA